Molecule: transfer RNA, 63 nt
Filed under: Rattus norvegicus (Norway rat)
Lineage: Eukaryota; Metazoa; Chordata; Mammalia; Rodentia; Muridae
Rfam family: tRNA
About the family: Transfer RNA (tRNA) molecules are approximately 80 nucleotides in length. Their secondary structure includes four short double-helical elements and three loops (D, anti-codon, and T loops).
Source: Rfam by way of RNAcentral
GGGGAUUUAGCUAAGUGGUAGAGCGCUUGCCUAGCAAGCGCAAGGCCCUGGGUUCAGUCCCCA